This 497-nucleotide ribosomal RNA is filed under the name uncultured bacterium. RNAcentral describes it as "partial 16S ribosomal RNA". It matches the Rfam family "Bacterial small subunit ribosomal RNA", at positions 28 to 507 of the family's 1533-position model. The record is from RNAcentral.
GACGAACGCUGGCGGCGUGCCUAAUACAUGCAAGUAGAACGCUGAAGAGAGGAGCUUGCUCUUCUUGGAUGAGUUGCGAACGGGUGAGUAACGCGUAGGUAACCUGCCUGGUAGCGGGGGAUAACUAUUGGAAACGAUAGCUAAUACCGCAUAAAAUUGAUUAUUGCAUGAUAAUUAAUUGAAAGAUGCAACUGCAUCACUACCAGAUGGACCUGCGUUGUAUUAGCUAGUUGGUGAGGUAACGGCUCACCAAGGCGACGAUACAUAGCCGACCUGAGAGGGUGAUCGGCCACACUGGGACUGAGACACGGUCCAGACUCCUACGGGAGGCAGCAGUAGGGAAUCUUCGGCAAUGGGGGGAACCCUGACCGAGCAACGCCGCGUGAGUGAAGAAGGUUUUCGGAUCGUAAAGCUCUGUUGUAAGAGAAGAACGGGUGUGAGAGUGGAAAGUUCACACUGUGACGGUACCUUACCAGAAAGGGACGGCUAACUACGUG